GGAUGUGCUCAUUAACCUCUGAACUCUGAAGGCCUGAUGACAGCGCUGCGAGUUCUGAUG
RNAcentral lists this small nucleolar RNA (60 nucleotides) under Euglena gracilis. RNAcentral describes it as "Eg-m77". Lineage: Eukaryota; Euglenozoa; Euglenophyceae; Euglenales; Euglenaceae. The record is from RNAcentral.